UGCGAGUCUUUGUAGUAAUACAAGGCAGACGGCUCAGUAACACGUAGUCAACCUACCCUAUGGACGAGAAUAAUCUCGGGAAACUGAGCAUAAUUCUCGAUAGAUCAUAAUGCCUGGAAUGGUUUAUGGUUAAAAUGAUUCGUCGCCAUAGGAUGGGACUGCGGCCUAUCAGCUUGUUGGUGAGGUAAUGGCCCACCAAGGCGAUUACAGGUACGGGCUCUGAGAGGAGAAGCCCGGAGAUGGGUACUGAGACACGGACCCAGGCCCUAUGGGGCGCAGCAGGCGAGAAAACUUUGCAAUGUGCGAAAGCACGACAAGGUUAAUCCGAGUGAUUUCUGCUAAAGAGAUCUUUUGUCAGUCAUAAAACCACUGGCGAAUAAGGGGUGGGCAAGUUCUGGUGUCAGCCGCCGCGGUAAAACCAGCACCUC
Molecule: ribosomal RNA, 428 nt
Filed under: uncultured Thermocladium sp.
Lineage: Archaea; Thermoproteati; Thermoproteota; Thermoprotei; Thermoproteales; Thermoproteaceae
Description: bacterial SSU rRNA
Rfam family: Archaeal small subunit ribosomal RNA
Source: RNAcentral